CAUCCAUCGGCCGGGUCAUGACAAGGAAGGGCUCUAAGCCCUCACUGAAAAAACGACAACUGGAAAAAGGGAGACAACCUCCAACUACGGCGGAACGGCACCCACUCAGUGGAAACAAGUCAUAACCCUGUGACUCAUCACUGAUAGUUUCUCCCGUAGAACACAACAAAAACAGACAAGUCCUAAAAACUGUUCAUACACGGUGGAAACCACCAGAACAAACUAUGGAAACCACCGUAACCAGAACAACCUUAACUAAGCAUGGAAGUUUACAAUUUUUAACAGAAACUAAAGCAAUCAAAACAGAGAAAACAAACAAAGAAUGCAGAGAAGUACAAUCUUGUUGUGUGUUGAGGAAGAACUGGGCUCGGAAGUGAAAAGUUGAGGGACUAAAAUGCACUGAAAUUGUCAAG
RNAcentral lists this long non-coding RNA (413 nucleotides) under Medicago truncatula (barrel medic). RNAcentral's name for it is "lncRNA gene39518". The record is from RNAcentral. Lineage: Eukaryota; Viridiplantae; Streptophyta; Magnoliopsida; Fabales; Fabaceae.